Molecule: ribosomal RNA, 497 nt
Filed under: uncultured bacterium
Lineage: Bacteria
Description: partial 16S ribosomal RNA
Rfam family: Bacterial small subunit ribosomal RNA
Source: RNAcentral
GAUGAACGCUGGCGGCGUGCCUAAUACAUGCAAGUCGAGCGAACGGACGAGAAGCUUGCUUCUCUGAUGUUAGCGGCGGACGGGUGAGUAACACGUGGAUAACCUACCUAUAAGACUGGGAUAACUUCGGGAAACCGGAGCUAAUACCGUAUGAUAUUUUGAUCCGUAUGGUUCAAAAGUGAAAGACGGUCUUGCUGUCACUUCUAGAUGGAUCCGCGCUGCAUUAGCUAGUUGGUAAGGUAACGGCUUACCAAGGCAACGAUGCGUAGCCGACCUGAGAGAGUGAUCGGCCACACUGGAACUGAGACACGGUCAAGACUACUACGGGAGGCAGCAGUAGGGAAUCUUCCGCAAUGGGCGAAAGCCUGACGGAGCAACGCCGCGUGAGUGAUGAAGGUCUUCGGAUCGUAAAACUCUGUUAUUAGGGAAGAACAUAUGUGUAAGUAACUGUGCACAGCUUGACGGUACCUAAUCAGAAAGCCACGGCUAACUACGUG